GAACACGCUGUUGUACAAUCCGCCCAAAGCUCAGAUUUCCGUACAGUUGACAGGAAAGUAGGAGUGUGUUCAUGACGCCACAUGAAGUGACAACAGCCUGGGACACCGGCAGUUUGUACUACAGGUUAACCGACAGUGAGGCUGAGCAGCAUGAUUCCACUGAAGCGACGUCUCAGCCACGGCGCUGCAACAAUUUCCACAGCCCUUUUCUAUCAGCCCGCUCCACAAACCAGUAGAGGGAGUCCAAGACUUGAAUCCUGUUUAUACCUUUUGGGCCUCGAGAAAUGAAGCUUUCUACGUGCUCUCCGAGCUGAGAGAGGCAGGUCAGCUGAAGGACGCCUACGCAGGACUGGAUGCUCUGGCUGCUGCCAAAAUCAAAGCUGUCACCUUCUGACUGGCACCAGACCACCACACCAUUAUCAACACAGGGUGGUGACACCAUGCAUUAAUCUAUUUGGAAAUGUUGUCUGGCAAAAGUAAUGCAACAUGUUGCUUUCUGUAUGCAGCUCUCCAUCCAUAGGUGUUGGAAAUGACGGAUAGUUUUGUGGAACACACUGGCUUCAUAAUGCCAGGCUUAGAUUUAGAGCCACUGUAAUCUACAGUCAGCACUUCUGUCAGACCCUUAAUGGUUUUACUGCACUCUGUAUAGCUGAAAAUGGCUGCAUUAUUGUAUUUGCUCGGUGGACACACAGAUAUAUUCACGUAUGCAGGAACACACACACGCACGCACACAUGCACAGACGCAGUACAAUAAUGACCUUGACUAAGUAGCUCUCCAAAUUGCAAGUGACUUUUAGAGCACUCUGCCUUUCUCUGCAUUUGCCUCAGCCACAUUCCCUCUUCACACGGCGUCUCUUGCUGGUGGACAGUGUGUGUGUGUGUGUGUGUGUGUGUGUGUGUGUGUGUGUGUGUGUGUGUGUGUGUGUGUGUGUGUGUGUGUGUGCCUGCAUGUUUCUAUGUGUUUUUGUGUUUUAUCAGGACACAGAUUGUUUUCAAGUUGUGCAGGGGCAAGACUGAAAGCAGGUGAGACCUCAGUGUGGAUCCUGUAAAGGAGCUGUCUUCAGGCUACAACUGUGAGUCUGGUAAAUGUGUUAAUUAGAAAAAUCUCCAGUGUUUCUGGGUAAUAUCUCAAACCUUUGGUGUUCAGUUUCUAAAAGUAAGAGAUAAUAAAUAUCAUGACAAAAUAAAUAUAUUUAACCAGGUCAUCUUGGUUACCAAGGUGAAAUGUACAACAUUGACUGACACUAGACAUUGUUAGAGAGCGUUCGUGUUGUUCAUGCAAUGAGGUUGUGAAAACAAGUAAACGUCAUCUGAAGACAAACUAAUUCUUCCAAAUGUUUCAGGGUUGAGAUUGUAACUUUAAAAACAUAUUCAGACGCAGUUACUUCUUAAUGAAUGUGGUAAAUUACAUAAUCCAAGUAUCAAUAUAUUCUGAUUUUGAAAUUUGAGUACUUUCUGUCACUUUUGGAUUACCUCAAUAUCAAACAUGCAAAUAAAGACCUCAGUAAUCCCUUUUUACUGAAUGUAUCUGUAAUCUAGUAACAUCUUUUUUAUAUUAUACUCAAACUGUACCAGAAUGUGCCUUUUUUUGUAUCCUGAUUACAAAAUCCCAUUACAUGUAUUCCAUUACUCCA
Acanthopagrus latus (yellowfin seabream) is the source of this 1634-nucleotide long non-coding RNA. RefSeq lists it as uncharacterized. The record is from RefSeq and is a predicted model, not a curated record. NCBI's taxonomy places the organism in Eukaryota, Metazoa, Chordata, Actinopteri, Spariformes, Sparidae. The transcript is spliced from 4 exons.